AUUAAAUCAGAGUGCAUAGCGAAAGCAUGAUGGUUUGAAUUGGUUAAUUUAUUGAAAAGAUGUAGUUCUAAUAGAGGAUGUUAUAAAAGAUUGAAGGUUCCUUUCAGAUGAAAAGGACAUAUGGGAACUCAAGGCUAAAUAAGAACUUUGUGUUCUUAAUAUUUUGACCUUGUAACAUGCCAAUUUUGAGAACAAAAUUUAUUGAAGG
This 208-nucleotide long non-coding RNA is filed under the name Elaeis guineensis (African oil palm). RNAcentral describes it as "long non-coding RNA (EGUI_LNC050126)". The record is from RNAcentral. Lineage: Eukaryota; Viridiplantae; Streptophyta; Magnoliopsida; Arecales; Arecaceae.